RNAcentral lists this ribosomal RNA (521 nucleotides) under Enterococcus faecalis. RNAcentral describes it as "partial 23S ribosomal RNA". It matches the Rfam family "Bacterial large subunit ribosomal RNA", at positions 1570 to 2104 of the family's 2925-position model. The record is from RNAcentral. Lineage: Bacteria; Bacillati; Bacillota; Bacilli; Lactobacillales; Enterococcaceae.
AGCGAAAUAAUAGUAGCGAAGUUCCUGAUGUCACACUGCCAAGAAAAGCUUCUAGUGAGAAAACAACUGCCCGUACCGUAAACCGACACAGGUAGUCGAGGAGAGUAUCCUAAGGUGAGCGAGCGAACUCUCGUUAAGGAACUCGGCAAAAUGACCCCGUAACUUCGGGAGAAGGGGUGCUGACUUCGGUCAGCCGCAGUGAAUAGGCCCAAGCGACUGUUUAUCAAAAACACAGGUCUCUGCAAAAUCGUAAGAUGAAGUAUAGGGGCUGACGCCUGCCCGGUGCUGGAAGGUUAAGAGGAUGGGUUAGCUUCGGCGAAGCUCAGAAUUGAAGCCCCAGUAAACGGCGGCCGUAACUAUAACGGUCCUAAGGUAGCGAAAUUCCUUGUCGGGUAAGUUCCGACCCGCACGAAAGGCGUAACGAUUUGGGCACUGUCUCAACGAGAGACUCGGUGAAAUUUUAGUACCUGUGAAGAUGCAGGUUACCCGCGACAGGACGGAAAGACCCCAUGGAGCUUUAC